Molecule: long non-coding RNA, 1244 nt
Filed under: Lepidothrix coronata (blue-crowned manakin)
Lineage: Eukaryota; Metazoa; Chordata; Aves; Passeriformes; Pipridae
Description: lncRNA (ENSLCOG00000012944.1)
Source: RNAcentral
CUGGACAGAAGGACAGACGGCCGAGGGAAAUGAGCAUAACUUCUCAGCUUGGCCACCUUCCAUGUGAUGGAGCAAUGUAGCCGACUUGUGGGUUGACUUAGGCUUGCAUCACCAUCCUGACCCGGGUUGCAUCGGCAGUCAUCUGGAACUGACUACAUGCCUGAACUGAUAAAAGAUGCUGUGGAAAUACGGAUCUCUGGGGCCUUUGCAAGAUGCUUGUGCCAUAUCCUGUCUCUUUGUUCCCUGGUCCUCUGGAGGACAAAAGAGUGAGAAUCAGCAGUGUGUCACUUAUCCUGCAAACACUUUGAGAACUGCUUUGACAGCCAGUGGAAGAAAAUAGUGUGAUGUGGUCACAGCAAGCACGUGUUCUUUCUAACAAUUUACAAUUGCACAAUGAUCCCAUUGAGAGUGAUACUCAAACCUCCCUCUGAUUACCUGUUCUUUUCUCUUUCUGUAACAACAUUGUUUCUUUCCAACACAGGAGUGUUUAUGCAGAAAUGUCAAGAUUCUUUACACAGAUUACAGUAGGUUUACAAAUUAAGGAAAAACUGGUAUGGAACAAGAGGAAAAUAAUCCCAGCAUUUUGCACUUAAUUGUAAUCAAAAUCCUGUCUUUGGAGGGUGUUAUGUCAAAUAUACACUUGGUGAGGCCUAUGAGGAUUUUCCCUGUGUAACGGCAAGAGUUAGCCCUAGCAUAUCACACUAUUCUAAAAAUGGUGUCCAGUAAGCAAUAGGUGGCCACUCUUGGAAAAAAAUCAGGAAAAAAUUGGUGAAACCUGGAUCCUCUGCAGUGUCACUUUCACAGUUGAGUGACUGACAAACAAAAGCAAAGAAAAAGACCCAGUGGGCUAAAUCACCAUGAGGUUGGAUUCCCCCUGUUGUGGAAUUGAACAAAAUCCAGCAACGUUCCCUUCUAUUAGGUCUGAUGUAAAUGCUGUAUGGUAAAGACUAAUUUCUAAAAGUCAGCUGUAAACCUAUAGGUCAGCCAAUAAGACAGAGACUCGACACAUUUUUCAUUGUGAAGUGUAUGAUAGUUUCAAGCCUUUAAUCAACGUCACUGCAGACAGUAUAUUGUUGAAUCCAAUGGAACUGGAAUCCUGCUAUGAGUUUAAUUGUUUUCCACAAGUAGAACAGAAGCCUUUGAUUUCUGUUAAUUAUGUAUCUACGUGAAAAACUAUUUUGUGUGUAUAUAUAUUUAACAACAGGAAAUGUAACACAUAUUUGUUUUUAUUAAACUAAUAAAAG